GACGAACGCUGGCGGCGUGCUUAACACAUGCAAGUCGAACGAAAAGAGGGAAAGAGCUUGCUCUUUCCGGAAUUGAGUGGCAAACGGGUGAGUAACACGUAAACAACCUGCCUUCAGGAUGGGGACAACAGACGGAAACGACUGCUAAUACCGAAUAAGUUCCAAGAGCCGCAUGGCCCAUGGAAGAAAAGGUGGCCUCUACCUGUAAGCUAUCGCCUGAAGAGGGGUUUGCGUCUGAUUAGCUGGUUGGAGGGGUAACGGCCCACCAAGGCGACGAUCAGUAGCCGGUCUGAGAGGAUGAACGGCCACACUGGAACUGAGACACGGUCCAGACUCCUACGGGAGGCAGCAGUGGGGAAUCUUCCGCAAUGGGCGAAAGCCUGACGGAGCAACGCCGCGUGAGUGAUGACGGCCUUCGGGUUGUAAAACUCUGUGAUCCGGGACGAAAAGGCAGAGUGCGAAGAACAAACUGCAUUGACGGUACCGAAAAGCAAGCCACGCA
Molecule: ribosomal RNA, 502 nt
Filed under: Dialister invisus
Lineage: Bacteria; Bacillati; Bacillota; Negativicutes; Veillonellales; Veillonellaceae
Description: bacterial SSU rRNA
Rfam family: Bacterial small subunit ribosomal RNA
Source: RNAcentral